Molecule: ribosomal RNA, 331 nt
Filed under: uncultured eukaryote
Lineage: Eukaryota
Description: partial 18S ribosomal RNA
Rfam family: Eukaryotic small subunit ribosomal RNA
Source: RNAcentral
CCCUUAGAUGUUCUGGGCUGCACGCGCGCUACACUGAUGCGCUCAACGAGUUUACGACCUUGCCCGGAAGGGUUGGGUAAUCUUUUUAAAACGCAUCGUGAUGGGGAUAGAUUAUUGCAAUUAUUAAUCUUUAACGAGGAAUUCCUAGUAAAUGCAAGUCAUCAGCUUGCGUUGAUUACGUCCCUGCCCUUUGUACACACCGCCCGUCGCUACUACCGAUUGAAUGGUUUAGUGAGAUCUCCGGAUUGGCUCUGUAGGUCCCGCAAGGGAUUUAUUAGUAGCCAAGAAGCUGCUCAAACUUGAUCAUUUAGAGGAAGUAAAAGUCGUAACA